RNAcentral lists this long non-coding RNA (407 nucleotides) under Elaeis guineensis (African oil palm). RNAcentral's name for it is "long non-coding RNA (EGUI_LNC001283)". Lineage: Eukaryota; Viridiplantae; Streptophyta; Magnoliopsida; Arecales; Arecaceae. The record is from RNAcentral.
AAUCCUUACAUAGCAUCAAGGCUCCUCUUGUUCUAGAGUUGUUGACCAAGCAAGCGCUAGUCAACACCAAGCUAGGUCUUGCUAGACCUCAAGGUAAGGAUCUCUCUAUCUUUUUGAUUUUCUGGCAUGUUACCAAUUUUUUUUAACUUCAUUUUUAUUUCUAUAGAUACGGCAAAUAAGUUGAUGGUGAGAAAAAUGGUCAUCGUCAAAUGCGAGGUGACGAUGGAAGAUCGAUCGUCAAUCAUCUACCCAGAGACCAUAUGGUGCUUCUCCCUCUUGCCCGAGUUGGGGCACAACUGCAACCACCCCAACCUUGCAAGCUAGUCAGCUCCAUUUAGAGAUGGUCAUGCAUAAGGGAUAAGCUAAAAGAGCUUGGUGGCAACAAAGCUACGAAGGUUCGAGAAACA